CGGACGGGUGAGUAACGCGUGGGGAACCUGCCCUGUACCGGGGGAUAGCAGCCGGAAACGGCUGAUAAUACCGCAUAAGCGCACGAAUGUCGCAUGACAUGGUGUGAAAAACUCCGGUGGUAUAGGAUGGACCCGCGUCUGAUUAGCCAGUUGGUGGGGUAAAAGCCUACCAAAGCUAAGAUCAGUAGCCGAGUUGAGAGACUGACCGGCCACAUUGGGACUGAGACACGGCCCAGACUCCUACGGGAGGCAGCAGCU
This 258-nucleotide ribosomal RNA is filed under the name uncultured bacterium. RNAcentral's name for it is "partial 16S ribosomal RNA". It matches the Rfam family "Bacterial small subunit ribosomal RNA", at positions 99 to 355 of the family's 1533-position model. The record is from RNAcentral.